UGGGGAAUAUUGCACAAUGGGCGCAAGCCUGAUGCAGCAACGCCGCGUGAACGAUGAAGGUCUUCGGAUCGUAAAGUUCUGUUGCAGGGGAAGAUAAUGACGGUACCCUGUGAGGAAGCCCCGGCUAACUACGUGCCAGCAGCCGCGGUAAUACGUAGGGGGCUAGCGUUAUCCGGAUUUACUGGGCGUAAAGGGUGCGUAGGUGGUCUUUCAAGUCGGUGGUUAAAGGCUACGGCUCAACCGUAGUUAGCCUCCGAAACUGGAAGACUUGAGUGCAGGAGAGGAAAGUGGAAUUCCCAGUGUAGCGGUGAAAUGCGUAGAUAUUGGGAGUAACACCAGUAGCGAAGGCGGCUUUCUGGACUGCAACUGACACUGAGGCACGAAAGCGUGGGUAGCAAACAGG
This 403-nucleotide ribosomal RNA is filed under the name Verrucomicrobiota bacterium. Its description in RNAcentral is "Verrucomicrobia bacterium partial 16S ribosomal RNA". It matches the Rfam family "Bacterial small subunit ribosomal RNA", at positions 355 to 776 of the family's 1533-position model. The record is from RNAcentral. Lineage: Bacteria; Pseudomonadati; Verrucomicrobiota.